RNAcentral lists this ribosomal RNA (252 nucleotides) under uncultured bacterium. RNAcentral's name for it is "partial 16S ribosomal RNA". It matches the Rfam family "Bacterial small subunit ribosomal RNA", at positions 525 to 776 of the family's 1533-position model. The record is from RNAcentral.
ACGAGAGGUGCAAGCGUUAUUCGGAAUUAUUGGGCGUAAAGGGCGCGUAGGCGGUUUUAUAAGUUUUUUGUUUAAGGUUCCGGCCUAACUGGAAAGAUGCAAAAAAUACUGUAAGGCUAGAGUAUAAUAGAGAGAAGUGGAAUUUUCGGAGUAGCGGUUAAAUGCGUAGAUCUCGAAAGGAACGCCAAUGGCGAAGGCAGCUUCUUGGAUUAUUACUGACGCUGAGGCGCGAAGGCGUGGGGAGCAAACAGG